Pelobates cultripes (western spadefoot toad) is the source of this 369-nucleotide non-coding RNA. Lineage: Eukaryota; Metazoa; Chordata; Amphibia; Anura; Pelobatidae. The record is from the annotation of a GenBank genome assembly.
AUAUACUCGUGUAUAAGUCGAUCUCAUGUAUAAGUCGAGUGCAGUUUUGUGACCAACAAUUGUGAAAUAUGCUAUGCCUCGUGGAUAAGUCGAGGGUAAAACUUGGAGCUAUGAAAUUCUGUGAUUUUUAUAAUUAUAUACACACACUCAUACAAACAAACACUCUGCAUUAUAUAUACACACACUCAUACAAACAAUCUGCAUUAUAUACACACACACACUCAUACAAACACACACUCUGCAUUAUAUACACACACACACUCAUACAAACACACACUGCAUUAUAUACACACACUCUGUGUAUAUAAUGCAGAGUGUGUAUAUAAUGCAGAGUGUGUGUUUGUGUAGUGUGUGUGAACUAGGUGGGGG